This 83-nucleotide non-coding RNA is filed under the name Algibacter lectus. Lineage: Bacteria; Pseudomonadati; Bacteroidota; Flavobacteriia; Flavobacteriales; Flavobacteriaceae. The record is from RNAcentral.
AACUAUGCGCAAGGGAUUGCAGAGUAAAGCCCACAGCCUGACGAAGGAAGUGCGAGGACUUGCAACGAAAAGCCCGACCCAUU